This 753-nucleotide unclassified non-coding RNA is filed under the name Hevea brasiliensis (rubber tree). Lineage: Eukaryota; Viridiplantae; Streptophyta; Magnoliopsida; Malpighiales; Euphorbiaceae. The record is from RNAcentral.
ACAGAUUGCAGCAUCUCAGCAUUGGUGAGUUGUCGUGCUUGGCAUUUCAAAGUUAAUGUCAAUAUUCUGUGUUCAAAAUAUCUUGAUACAACCAGAAUUUGUCGGACGGUGGGAAAUAUGAUAAGAUGAGGCUUGUUUUGCAAGAUGCUUUAUGUAUAUUGAGCUUUUUGUGGAUGAAUGCAUGAUUCUUUGCAGGUGCUUGUUUCAGUUUUUAGCCAUUCUACCGAAUAUUGGCUUCUUGUGUAUAUCUUGUAUGCUUGGUUUUUGCCAUUGUUUCUAUGAUAUAUAUGAUUUGUCAAGAGAGUUCAAUUUACAUGCUUGUACCAAAGCUGAUGCUGAUAGAGUGUAUUGACUUGUUGGGCUUGGGCAGACACCUUUAUUCUCUUGUUCUGUGGCCAAUAUUGCUACAAACGAGGUGUCUUUCAGAUUUUUAUUAUGGAAGAUUUUCUGGAACAUGUUUAUUUUAGAAGGAUUUUUCAACUCCUUUUUUUCUUGUAUCCCCUGUUAUCAAUUGUAAUUUAUGCAUUUUAUUAAUGAGGCCUUUUUACAUUGGUCUGUAGUCUGCUUCUCAAGUCCAUGGGGGUCAAUUUGCGGCAGGUUUUGUGGAUGGUUCUGUGAGACUCUAUGAUGUGCGGACACCCGAAAAGCUUGUUUGUACUAAACGGCCACAUGCGAAAGUAGAAAGAGUUGUGGGGAUUGGCUUUCAACCUGGUCUUGAUCCUGGGAAGCUUGUCAGUGCAUCUCAGGCUGGUG